RNAcentral lists this small RNA (792 nucleotides) under uncultured Glomus. RNAcentral's name for it is "SSU rRNA". It matches the Rfam family "Eukaryotic small subunit ribosomal RNA", at positions 314 to 1114 of the family's 1831-position model. The record is from RNAcentral. Lineage: Eukaryota; Fungi; Glomeromycota; Glomeromycetes; Glomerales; Glomeraceae.
AUCAACUUUAGAGGGUAGGAUAGAGGCUCCAUGGUGGUAACGGGUACGGGGUGUUAGCGCGGACCCGGAGAGGGAGCGUGAGAAACGUUCCACAUCCAAGGAUGGCAGCAGGCGCGCAAAUUACCCAAUCCGGACACGGAGAGGUAGUGACAAUAAAUAACAAUACGGGGUUCUUUCGGAUCUCGUAAUUGGAAUGAGUACAAUUUAAAUCUCUUAACGAGGACACAAUUGGAGGGCAAGUCUGGUGCCAGCAGCCGCGGUAAUUCCAGCUCCAAUAGCGUAUAUUAAAGUUGUUGCAGUUAAAAAGUUGGUAGUUGAAUUUGGGGACCAUCAUGUCGGUCGUGCCUCGGUACGUACUGGCAUUAUUGGUUUCUACCUUCUGACGAACCAUGAUGUCAUUAAUUUGGUGUUGCGGGGAAUCAGGACUGUUACUUUGAAAAAAUUAGAGUGUUUAAAGCAGGCUCACGCUUGAAUACAUUAGCAUGGAAUAAUGAAAUAGGACGUUUGAUUCUAUUUUGUUGGUUUCUAGGAUCGACGUAAUGAUUAAUAGGGAUAGUUGGGGGCAUUAGUAUUCAAUUGUCAGAGGUGAAAUUCUUGGAUUUAUUGAAGACUAACUACUGCGAAAGCAUUUGCCAAGGAUGUUUUCAUUAAUCAAGAACGAAAGUUAGGGGAUCGAAGACGAUCAGAUACCGUCGUAGUCUUAACCAUAAACUAUGCCGACUAGGGAUCGGAUGAUGUUAAUUUUUUAAUGACUCAUUCGGCGCCUUACGGGAAACCAAAGUGUUUGGGUUC